GGAUAUGAGGGUGAUCUGGCUAUGACAUCUGUCACCCCCACUGAUCGCCAGGGUUGACUUGGCAGAUCUGGCUGGCUAGGUGCGUGUCCCCUUCCUCCCUCACCAUCCCAUGUGUUAUGCAUCCCUCCUGAAGCUGCAGACUGGGUCAAAGAGGAUGACCAUCCCCAAGAGAGUAGAACUCUUCAGUAAAGGGUACACCCAGUAGCUGUGCUACCCUGCUAGAACCUCGAAACAAAGAGCCAACUUCUCCUGCUAAAUGCCACGCUGGUUGCAUUCCAAU
RNAcentral lists this small nuclear RNA (280 nucleotides) under Cebus imitator (Panamanian white-faced capuchin). Its description in RNAcentral is "7SK RNA (ENSCCAG00000005646.1)". It matches the Rfam family "7SK RNA". From Rfam's summary of the family: 7SK was discovered as an abundant small nuclear RNA in the mid-70s but a possible function has only recently been suggested. The record is from Rfam by way of RNAcentral. Lineage: Eukaryota; Metazoa; Chordata; Mammalia; Primates; Cebidae.